This 237-nucleotide unclassified non-coding RNA is filed under the name Hevea brasiliensis (rubber tree). The record is from RNAcentral. Lineage: Eukaryota; Viridiplantae; Streptophyta; Magnoliopsida; Malpighiales; Euphorbiaceae.
CUGGCGGGGAAGCAGGGGCAGAAGGGCGAUUAUUAUCAUUCAAAUGCAUGUUACUCAACAGAUCAUCCAAAGGUGGGUAUGCAGAAGAGUGAGAAUUGGCGGAAUCACUAUAAGUAUCAUGAUUUAUCGAUGACCCAGUUCCCAAAGGAGGGCAAAUAUCAUGUCUUUGAUGAGAGGAAAGGGAAGCUCCUUGUGGGGUGCUAUCAUGGCCCGGUUGAUGCUGAUAAGGAUACUGCG